AAACCAUGGACUAUCUGCAAGAAGCAGCGCAGACACAAAUUCCAGUUCGGUCUCCAUUAGAAAGAUUAGGUAAGCGUGCAGACCUCAUGCCGAGACGAGCUGAUGUUGCUUGCAACGAGGAAGGCUCGGCGUCCUCUGACUAUGGAUGCACGCCGGCCAGAAUCACGUAGCCACGGCUCCGACCAGAAUCACCGUGUCUGUUCCGGAUUAGAGAGAGGGAGCAACAAAUUACAAUCAUGGUUUUGGUACGGAUUCACAGAAGACCCUAAUCAAACAUCACGAUAGCAUACUGUUUGGAAUUCAGAAAUCCAUUCAAGUCAUGCACUCCAAAGGAUGAUCCAUCAGUAAUAUCGGAUAAAUCACCCAAGAAUGAUUACCAACUCAAGCAUCAUGUUCUAGAAAAAAAUAUUCAGGCACGCCAUGGUUUCCAGUUCAGAAGAUGAAGCACAAUACCUCUAUUGAAUCUCAGGCUAGCGUACUCCUUAGCCUUGCCUGGAAGCCCGCCGGCCGGUCGCCGGAGCCGCCACCGCUAGCGACAGCC
Molecule: long non-coding RNA, 541 nt
Filed under: Triticum aestivum (bread wheat)
Lineage: Eukaryota; Viridiplantae; Streptophyta; Magnoliopsida; Poales; Poaceae
Description: long non-coding RNA (TAES_LNC007462)
Source: RNAcentral